GACCCGAAACCCGGUGAUCUAGCCAUGGGCAGGUUGAAGGUUGGGUAACACUAACUGGAGGACCGAACCGACUAAUGUUGAAAAAUUAGCGGAUGACUUGUGGCUGGGGGGGAAAGGCCAAUCAAACCGGGAGAUAGCUGGUUCUCCCCGAAAGCUAUUUAGGUAGCGCCUCGUGAAUUCAUCUCCGGGGGUAGAGCACUGUUUCGGCAAGGGGGUCAUCC
Molecule: ribosomal RNA, 221 nt
Filed under: Shigella flexneri
Lineage: Bacteria; Pseudomonadati; Pseudomonadota; Gammaproteobacteria; Enterobacterales; Enterobacteriaceae
Description: partial 23S ribosomal RNA
Rfam family: Bacterial large subunit ribosomal RNA
Source: RNAcentral